Molecule: ribosomal RNA, 405 nt
Filed under: uncultured bacterium
Lineage: Bacteria
Description: partial 16S ribosomal RNA
Rfam family: Bacterial small subunit ribosomal RNA
Source: RNAcentral
GAUGAACGCUGGCGGCGUGCCUAAUACAUGCAAGUCGAGCGAAGCGGGGACGGGUGCGUAACACGUGGGUAACCUCCUAUCAGUCUGUGUUAGCUUCGGGAAACCGGAGCUAAACCGGCUACUUAUGGAUGGCUCUUGGCUGCAUUCGCUAUUUGGUAAGGUAACGGCUGACCAAGGCACCGAUGCAUAGCCGACCUGAGAGGGUGAUCGGCCACACUGGAACUGAGACACGGUUCAGACCCCUACGGGAGGCAGCAGUGGGGAAUCUUCCGCAAUGGGCGAAAGCCUGACGGAGCAACGCCGCGGGAGUGAGGAAGGUCUUCGGAUCGUAAAACUCUGUUAUUAGGGAAGCGGUACCUAACCAGAAAGCCACGGCUAACUACGUGCCAGCAGCCGCGGUAAUAC